UUGCCUACGGGAGGCAGCAGUGAGGAAUAUUGGUCAAUGGGCGCGAGCCUGAACCAGCCAAGUCGCGUGAGGGAAGACGGUCCUAUGGAUUGUAAACCUCUUUUGUCGGGGAGCAAAAGACGCCACGCGUGGCGUUCCGAGAGUACCCGAAGAAAAAGCAUCGGCUAACUCCGUGCCAGCAGCCGCGGUAAUACGGAGGAUGCGAGCGUUAUCCGGAUUUAUUGGGUUUAAAGGGAGCGUAGACGGAGGAGCAAGUCUGAUGUGAAAAUCCGGGGCCCAACCCCGGAACUGCAUUGGAAACUGUU
This 305-nucleotide ribosomal RNA is filed under the name uncultured bacterium. RNAcentral describes it as "bacterial SSU rRNA". It matches the Rfam family "Bacterial small subunit ribosomal RNA", at positions 335 to 637 of the family's 1533-position model. The record is from RNAcentral.